Molecule: unclassified non-coding RNA, 339 nt
Filed under: soil metagenome
Description: partial contains 5.8S ribosomal RNA, internal transcribed spacer 2, and large subunit ribosomal RNA
Rfam family: 5.8S ribosomal RNA (bases 1-120)
Source: RNAcentral
GAUGAAGAACGCAGCGAAAUGCGAUAACUAAUGUGAAUUGCAGAAUUCAGUGAAUCAUCGAGUCUUUGAACGCACAUUGCGCCCCCUGGUAUUCCGGGGGGCAUGCCUGUCCGAGCGUCAUUGCUGCCCUCAAGCACGGCUUGUGUGUUGGGCUCCGUCCCCCCGGGGACGGGCCCGAAAGGCAGCGGCGGCACCGAGUCCGGUCCUCGAGCGUAUGGGGCUUUGUCACCCGCUCUGUAGGCCCGGCCGGCGCCAGCCGACAACCCAUCAUCCUUUUCAGGUUGACCUCGGAUCAGGUAGGGAUACCCGCUGAACUUAAGCAUAUCAAUGAGCGGAGGA